This 784-nucleotide long non-coding RNA is filed under the name Gossypium barbadense (sea-island cotton). RNAcentral's name for it is "long non-coding RNA (GBAR_LNC002085)". Lineage: Eukaryota; Viridiplantae; Streptophyta; Magnoliopsida; Malvales; Malvaceae. The record is from RNAcentral.
CUUAAUAGAAUAAAAUCAAAGUCAAAGCUACAUGCAUUUGCUGCAAAUAAAUUUUAUCAAUUUACAAAAUGCACAUAAAUAAAUAUUUUCUUUGCCUAGGUGUAUGCACAAAAUUAAGUAAAGCCUAUGAGCAUGCAAUAAUUAUACAAUAAUUAAAAGUUAAAAUAUAGUGCGUAACUAUUAAUAUGAAUUUCAAUACCAAUUUUAUUAUCUAUUUGUGCAUUAUCUCUAUUUUUCCACUUCUAAUGGUUAGAAAAUUUUUUAUGACCAUCUCUUUUACGAUCAUUAUAGAGCCACUUACUAUAUCCACGUCCACGUCCAAGAUUACAUCUUUUGAAUUUAUUAUAUAUUAUUACAUUCAAUUUAGAGAAUGAAGCCAAUCCAGUAGAACAAAAUCAUAAAUGAUAGGUCUAUUGGCAUAAGUUCAUUAAUUUAAUGAAGCAAAAGUAUGAGUUGAAUAGCCCAAGGUGAGUAUAUUUCACCAUAUUGUGUAUUCCCCACGACUCAGGAAGUUCUUUUGUUAUAAAACGAGAAUAGGAAUCAACAAUAGAUUGCAAUAAAAAAUAUUUAGGGUGGGUUUGGAUGAGCGAUUGGGUGCGGUGCGGUGUAGUGCGGUGCGUUUAGCUUACUUUUUUGUCUUACGCUAUAGUAUCUCUACAAUAUCUAAUCUCACCGUCACCACUGUUUUACACAAACAACAGGUAAAUGCAUGCAUCGCCUAUCCAAACUCACCUUUAGUAAACUCAAAAUAAGGAGAGGAUGAGUGAGAGGAGAAUGAUAGAAU